RNAcentral lists this long non-coding RNA (362 nucleotides) under Homo sapiens (human). RNAcentral's name for it is "non-protein coding LINC01333:4". Lineage: Eukaryota; Metazoa; Chordata; Mammalia; Primates; Hominidae. The record is from RNAcentral.
GAGAAAUAGGUGGCAGUUUCUCUAGCAGCAUAAGAAGAACCUUGAUAAGCAUCAUCCUUAAGUCCUGACAGCAGUGGAUGACUAGUCAGGAACCUGUCCAGGAGGACAUUGACAUGGAUCUGCCAGCUUUCUAAGACUUUCCCCAGAUUCAAGUCCAGUCACAUCAAGUUGCCUUAUUAAAGGGUCUGCCCACUCAAAAGGAGAAAGUGCAAAAGAUGCUCAGCAAGGGUAGCAAACGCAGUCAGAUGAUACUUCCUGACAGCAUCCAAGAGCAAGUCUCACCACCACAUCUGUCAAUAAAAAAGAAAACAAGGAGCUGCCAAUUUGUCUAUUUAUAGGUGCCAAUAAAAUCCUGCACAGAA